UCCGUAGGUGGUUUGUCAAGUCUGUCGUCAAAGAAUGGAGCUUAACUCCAUAAAGGCGGUGGAAACUGAGAGACUAGAGUUCGGUAGGGGUAACGGGAAUUCCCAGUGUAGCGGUGAAAUGCGUAGAUAUUGGGAAGAACAUCGGUGGCGAAAGCGCGCUACUGGGCCGAAACUGACACUGAGGGACGAAAGCUAGGGUAGCGAAAG
Molecule: ribosomal RNA, 207 nt
Filed under: uncultured bacterium
Lineage: Bacteria
Description: partial 16S ribosomal RNA
Rfam family: Bacterial small subunit ribosomal RNA
Source: RNAcentral